CAGUAGCCACGGUAAUACGGAGGGGGCUAGCGUUGUUCGGAAUUACUGGGCGUAAAGCGCACGUAGGCGGCUUUGUAAGUCAGAGGUGAAAGCCCGGGGCUCAACCCCGGAAUUGCCUUUGAGACUGCAUCGCUUGAAUCCAGGAGAGGUGAGUGGAAUUCCGAGUGUAGAGGUGAAAUUCGUAGAUAUUCGGAAGAACACCAGUGGCGAAGGCGGCUCACUGGACUGGUAUUGACGCUGAGGUGCGAAAGCGUGGGGAGCAAACAGGAUUAGAUACCCCAGUAGUCCCUGUCUCUUAUAA
This 301-nucleotide ribosomal RNA is filed under the name uncultured bacterium. Its description in RNAcentral is "partial 16S ribosomal RNA". It matches the Rfam family "Bacterial small subunit ribosomal RNA", at positions 509 to 809 of the family's 1533-position model. The record is from RNAcentral.